GACAAAGUUUAAAUAUUUUUACACACCUUUUGAUAUUAUUAAAUAUUUCUUAAUAAAUAAAAAUUAUAUUUUAGUUAAAGCUUUUUAUAAAUAUUUUAAUUACUUUAUAACGAAAAAUUGGCAAGAUAUAUUUUCAUAUAUACCCUUGAACACACCUAUAGAAAAUUAUUUUUUUCUGUUACCUUGCAUAAAAAAUGGUGCUGAAAAAAAUGGUGCUGAAAAAAAUGGUGCUGAAAAAAAUGGUGCUGAAAAAAAUGGUGAUGAAAAAAAUGGUGAUGAAAAAUGUACUGACGAUAUGGAUGUAGACGAUAUAAAUAAGUCUAACAUAACAAGACUAGGUCUAUAUGAUGUAAAUUCAAGGUUCUUUAUGGGAAACCAUAAUGAAGAUAUGUACACUAUUUACUCUGAUGAAAACACCUUUUUCGACUUUUUUAUUAAUCGAUGUAUCCAAAUCAUACAAAAAACAAACUUAGUUAGAAGUCGUUUGUUAACUUUUGUAUACGUGUGUUUAAAAUUGAUAAAUGGUGAAAAUAUUUACAAAUUGUUCAGGUAUGACAAAAAAAAAAAGGCUUACAUUUUUAAUAAUCACUAUUUUUUUAAACUUAAACAUGCUCAAUCGGAGGUACAUACUAAUGGAAAGACACAUGGAAAGACACAUGAAAAGGCGUACGAAACAGUAGAAAACGGUACAGUAAUUGGAGCUAGCAAUCGUAGUGGCCUUAGUAGUAGUUAUAGUAGUCACUUUAGUAGUAACCGUAGCAAUACCAACAUGAACAUACAAUUUUCUGAACCUAAUAAAGGAGAAAAAACUAAGAAAGACAUAAAAAAACAAACAAUGCAACCACAUAUAGUAAACUUUAACGACCUAAACUUUAUAAAAAAUAAACUAUAUAUAAAAUUAAAAAAAAAUAAACUAUUAAAAAAAAAUGUGUUAUUAAUAUAUAGUUUAUUUGUUUUAAUAAAAUUAUAUAGCAUAUGCAAAGAUAAUAGUCCUAAUAUUAAAUUUGAACAGUUUUUGUUUAUGGAUAUAUACGAACGUCUGUGCUUAAUAACUGAUUUCGAUAUUACUUGCAUUUCUUACGAAUGUAACAAAAAAAUGCAUAUAAAUUUAUUUUUUAGCAAACUGCAAG
This 1130-nucleotide long non-coding RNA is filed under the name Piliocolobus tephrosceles (Ugandan red Colobus). RNAcentral's name for it is "lncRNA (ENSPTEG00000013605.1)". Lineage: Eukaryota; Metazoa; Chordata; Mammalia; Primates; Cercopithecidae. The record is from RNAcentral.